RNAcentral lists this long non-coding RNA (1331 nucleotides) under Ovis aries (sheep). Its description in RNAcentral is "lncRNA (ENSOARG00000026395.1)". Lineage: Eukaryota; Metazoa; Chordata; Mammalia; Artiodactyla; Bovidae. The record is from RNAcentral.
UUUUUGAGGAAGCCGGGGACUCGCACCACCAUUCUCCGUGAGUUUCCUGGUCUGAAAAGAUUGCCAGACAGGAGCUAUUGAAAGCCCCCAUGUCCUGUGUGCAGAUUUUUAAUGGAAACCUCAAACCUGUUACACCACAGGUGAGGCAAUAUGCUGAGAGCAUCCAGUCCAGCAAUUUCCCAAUGCAAGUUGAGCUGGAGAGAGGGAGAAUUUAUAAAUGUUGUACGUGCUUAUCUGAUCAAAUUUUUGGAAUAACUACUGAGGAUCCCAGAGAAAAAGAAUUCUCAGGUUUGUGUCAGGUAACAUUCUGGAUAUCACGUGAGCCCAGAACAAACAAGCAUCAGUGUGAAAGAGUUCCAGAGGUCAAGUUCUCAUGACUGAAGACUGAGACAGGGAGAAUAUUCUCAAUUCCUCUAGUCCAGUGACUCAGCCGGGGAGAUUUUUGCCCCCCGGGGACAUAAAACAUCCAGAGACAUUUUUAAGGCUUGAAGUUGCUAAUGACUCUAGCGUGCAGAGGCCAGGAAAGCUGCUAAACAUCUCAGGGUGGAUGACUAAUAGCACUUCCUCACCCCCCAAACAAAGAACUGUCCGGCCCCAAAUAUCAACAAUGCCAAGUCUGAGAAGCUCUGUUCCAGCCUUUACCAAUACUCAGCUCAGUGCUUCAAUCAUAAUAAAAGAGAGUAAAUAAUAAAUGUGCUCCCCUGAUAGUUCAGUAGUAAAGAAUCUGCCUGACACAACUUAUAAACAAUGAAAACUUAACAACAAAUAAUAAAUAAAUUGCAAGAUAGAAUUAAGGUUUGGGGAAUAAAGACAGGAAUGAAUUCAGUGUUCUGAAUUAGAAUGGGUGCUUCAUUAUGCUCCCUGUAGGUAUGUGUUAGUUGCUCAGUGUGUCCAGCUCUUGGUGACCUCAUGGACUGUAGCCCGCCAGGCUCUUCUGUCGGAAUUUCCCAGGCAAGAAUACGGGAGGGGGUAGCCACUCCCUCCUACAGGGGAUCUUCCCAGCUCAGGGAUGGGACCCAGGUCUCCUGAAUUCAAUCUGCUCACUAGCACUCCCUUAUCAAUCUCUUUGAUGCUCAGCUGUGCCUGUCCGCCUGGACUUAUUAUUUCUUCCUGCUGGCUCCCACGUCCUGGGACUGGCCUGCUGCAGCCUGGUUCUGCUGGUUCUUCUUGCCCGGGGCCCAUGCCUGCUUAGCCCUCAGUCUCCACCUUGACAGCUUGCAGACCCAGAAGACCAGAGAAGCAGGAUCCAUAGACAGUCUGGAAUCAGAAACAGCAAGGGUCACCACCACUUAUUCUAAACACUGAAGUCGCUUGAUGAAUUUCGGCAACUU